AUGGUGUGGCCAGCCUGGGAGGAGGGGCUGCCUGGGCGGAGGCUUCUGUGUGAACGUUCAGAGUGCGGCUGUGCUGGCUCCCCAGUGCCUCCUGUCUCGAGGCACAGCUCUCAGGUGGAUGGAAGACAGAGGCCCUGGAAACCAUGGGCCCGGCUUGUCCCCACCCUGGUUCUGCAGCUUCAGCUGGUGGACAAGAGCUCCCGCCAGUCCCCGGGCCCCCAGAGUCUCAACCUCCCUCCUUGCUCAGAGUCUGUGCUUGUGUCCGGAAAAGGCACGAAGCAGAGGUUGUGGCAUUGGCCCCAGACACUCCCUCUGAGAGCCCUGUGCCCACCCUGGGCCUCAUGGGCCUCUCAUCCGGGAGACACAUGUUAUCUGAUCGAGGAGGACUCCCCACUCCGCAUCACUGCCCUCCUCCCACAGAGACACAGGGUGUCCUGCAGGGAGAAGAAGAGCCCAGUCAACUGGCUCUGCACGAAAAGUACCCUCUGGAGACAGAUUUAUCCGAGUGCUGGCUCUUCGUGCAGCCAGAACAUGUGGUUUCUGAGGCCAGCUCGGGGAGCUCAAGGGACACAUGGCCACGCCUCCCACAGCGCUGAUGGCUUCGUCUCAGCAAAUUACGAACAAAACCUUCUCAGUCAAUCAGGGUGGGCCCCUGGAGGAAGUGGUGAGGUCACAAAGGUGGAACAGCUGGCUGUGUGUGUGUCUGUGUGUACCUGUGUGUAUCCGUGUGUAUCUGUGUGCGUGUCUGUAUUUCUGUAUGUGUGUGUGUCGGUGUGUGCAUCUCCAUAUCUGUGUGUCUGUAUAUGUCUGUGUGUAUCUGUGUGUAUCUGUGUGUGUGUCGGUGUGUGCAUCUCCAUAUCUGUGUGUCUGUGUGUGUAUCUGUGUCUGUGUAUUUCUGUGUGUGUCUCCAUAUCUGUGUGUUUCCAUCUGUGUGUUUCUGUGUGUGUCUGUGCGUGUCUGUGUGUCUGUAUUUCUGUGUGUAUCUGUGUGUGUUUGUCUGUGUGUCUGUAUCUAUGUUUGUGUGUACACAGAUCCACACUGUGA
RNAcentral lists this long non-coding RNA (1044 nucleotides) under Papio anubis (olive baboon). RNAcentral's name for it is "lncRNA (ENSPANG00000040335.1)". Lineage: Eukaryota; Metazoa; Chordata; Mammalia; Primates; Cercopithecidae. The record is from RNAcentral.